RNAcentral lists this ribosomal RNA (478 nucleotides) under uncultured bacterium. RNAcentral's name for it is "bacterial SSU rRNA". It matches the Rfam family "Bacterial small subunit ribosomal RNA", at positions 365 to 833 of the family's 1533-position model. The record is from RNAcentral.
UUCGCAAUGCCCGAAAGGGUGACGAAGCGACGCCGCGUGCGGGAGGAAGGCCUUCGGGUUGUAAACCGCUGUCGGGAGUUAAGAAAUGCAAGGAUGUUAAUAGCGUUCCUGCUUGACUAAGGCUCCGGAGGAAGCCACGGCUAACUCUGUGCCAGCAGCCGCGGUAAUACAGAGGCGGCAAGCGUUGUUCGGAAUUAUUGGGCGUAAAGAGCACGUAGGCGGCUGUGUAAGUCGGUUGUGAAAGCCUUCCGCUCAACGGAAGGACGGCAUCCGAUACUGCAUGGCUUGAGUGUGGGAGGGGAGAGUGGAACUUCUGGUGGAGCGGUGAAAUGCGUAGAUAUCAGAAGGAACACCGGCGGCGAAGGCGACUCUCUGGUCCAUAACUGACGCUGAGUGUGCGAAAGCUAGGGGAGCAAACGGGAUUAGAUACCCCGGUAGUCCUAGCCGUAAACGAUGGGCACUAAGUAGAGGGGUUUUA